Molecule: ribosomal RNA, 474 nt
Filed under: uncultured bacterium
Lineage: Bacteria
Description: bacterial SSU rRNA
Rfam family: Bacterial small subunit ribosomal RNA
Source: RNAcentral
AGAGUUUGAUCAUGGCUCAGAACGAACGCUGGCGGCAGGCUUAACACAUGCAAGUCGAACGCUCGUAGCAAUACGGGAGUGGCAGACGGGUGAGUAACGCGUGGGAACAUGCCCUUUGGUUCGGAACAACUCCGGGAAACUGGAGCUAAAACCGGAUAAGCCCUACGGGGGAAAGAUUUAUCGCCGAAGGAUUGGCCCGCGUCUGAUUAGCUAGUUGGUAGGGUAAUGGCCUACCAAGGCGACGAUCAGUAGCUGGUCUGAGAGGAUGAUCAGCCACACUGGGACUGAGACACGGCCCAGACUCCUACGGGAGGCAGCAGUGGGGAAUAUUGGACAAUGGGCGCAAGCCUGAUCCAGCCAUGCCGCGUGAGUGAUGAAGGCCUUAGGGUUGUAAAGCUCUUUCGCGCGCGACGAUAAUGACGGUAGCGCGAGAAGAAGCCCCGGCUAACUUCGUGCCAGCCGCCGCGGUAAUUC